UCGAACGCGAAAGGUAGCAAUACUGAGUAGAGUGGCGGAAGGGCGAGGAAUCCGUUUCUAACGUACCCCAAGGUCAGGGAUAACUCACCGAAAGGUGUGCUAAUACUUGAUGACCCUGCGCGAUCGCAUGAUCGUGCAGGCAAAGGCUUGCUUCCUUGGGAGCGGGGAACGUCCUAUCAGCUAGUUGGUGAGGUAACGGCUCACCAAGGCUAAGACGGGUAACCGGUGUGAGAGCACGGCCGGUCGCAUCGGGACUGAGACACUGCCCGGACUCCUACGGGAGGCUGCAGUAACGAAUAUUCCGCAAUGGGCGAAAGCCUGACGGAGCAAUGCCGCGUGCAGGAUGAAGCCCUUCGGGGUGUAAACUGCUGUCAGGGUUUAAGAACACAAUGACUAGACCCAAAGGAAGAGGCGGCUAACUCUGUGCCAGCAGCCGCGGUAAUACAGAGGCCUCGAGCGUUGCGCGGAAUCACUGGGCUUAAAGGGUGCGUAGGCGGAUGUGCAAGUGCCUUGUGAAAUCCCAUGGCUCAACCAUGGAACUGCUUGGUAGACUGCACGUCUUGAGGUCGGUAGAGGUCGCUGGAACGGUUGGUGGAGCGGUGAAAUGCGUAGAUAUCAACCGGAACGCCCAAGGUGAAGACAAGCGACUGGGCCGAAUCUGACGCUGAGGCACGAAAGCGUGGGGAUCAAACGGGAUUAGAUACCCCGGUAGUCCACGCCCUAAACGAUGUACACUAGAUCGUAGAGACUCUGACGUCCCUAUGGUCGAAGAAAACUUAUUUAGUGUACCGCCUGGGGAGUACGGUCGCAAGAUUAAAACUCAAAGGAAUUGACGGGGCUCACACAAGCGGUGGAGCAUGUGGCUUAAUUCGAAGCAACGCGAAGAACCUUAUCCAGGCUUGACAUGCACGGAUUAGUUCGAUGAAAGUUGAAUGACACUCGCAAGAGUGGAACGUGCACAGGUGCUGCAUGGCUGUCGUCAGCUCGUGCUGUGAAGUGUCGCGUUAAGUCGCUUAACGAGCGAAACCCCUAUCACUAGUUGCCAGCGGGUCAUGCCGGGGACUCUAGUGAGACUGCCGGUGUCAAACCGGAGGAAGGUGGGGACGACGUCAAGUCCUCAUGGCCUUUAUGCCUUGGGCUGCACACGUGCUACAAUGCGGCCGACAGAGCGAAGCAAGACCGUAAGGUGGAGCAAAUCGCAAAAAAGGUCGCUCAGUUCAGAUUGAGGUCUGCAACCCGACCUCAUGAAGCUGGAAUCGCUAGUAAUCGAGGAUCAGCUACGCCUCGGUGAAUAUGUUCCUGAGCCUUGUACACACCGCCCGUCAAGUCAUGGGAGCCGGAAAUACCCAAAGCCGUCACGUCUCAGUGA
This 1369-nucleotide ribosomal RNA is filed under the name uncultured Bacteroidota bacterium. RNAcentral's name for it is "bacterial SSU rRNA". It matches the Rfam family "Bacterial small subunit ribosomal RNA". The record is from RNAcentral. Lineage: Bacteria; Pseudomonadati; Bacteroidota.